CAGGCUAUGUUGUUGAAAUGGGCCAAAAAUUCACUAAGUUUUAUACAACAGAAGGCCCGUGGCAACGCACGGUCAUGUCACACACUGAUGAAUUAUUGGCAUGGGAUAAUCUCUAACUAGCGAGCACCUAGACUGUUUGCUCCAUAAAGCACGUCUGCACAUAUAUUUUGUACUGUAAGCAAUUCCUUUAUUCGCAUUCAAAAUCUAAAUAGUAUGGAAAUCAGGAAAAUUAUAUAGCUAUUUGGGUGUAUCUCUACUCCUAAUGUCAGGGGUAUUCUAUUAACUACUGGGUUGUUGAUCUACAUUACGGUUUAAUUCUUACACGAAUUAAUGUUGACUCGAUUCCCUGUAGUAGGUUGAGAGGCUUCUCCUCUCAUGAUUUACUCUGAUUAAUUUGCUUGGCUCCAUGCUCCUCAUGAUUUCUUUGAAUUUUUCUGUAGGAGCUCGAUCAAAAAUAACCUAAGAAAAAUAUGUCGUUCUUCUCUACAAUGGUUGCGUGUGGAAUCUGAGGAGAAUCUGUGCACCAGCAUCCGACUCCUUGAUGUUGCUCUGAUCAUAUUGUGUAAAUAUAUUUCUAAUAAAGCAAUCGCCCGAUGGUGUACAUGUUAGAAAUAACAAGAUGUAAUCAUCAAGUGUGAGAGAUGGCAACAUCAUGAUGGGAUGGUAUGUACUGUUGUGCUCAUCAAUAGGUUAGUCUUUCAUUCUCUUGUAGCCGGUAUGUUUUUUGUUAUGCAAAUAAUUAGGAAAUAUCUAAUUUCUAUGUAUGUCCAAAUAUAUAUAAGUGGUUGUUGUUAACACUGAAUUUGGAUUUGUUAACGGUCGCUGCAUUUGGUCUAUCCCGAGCCUCUGACUGUGGAUCAUGUUC
RNAcentral lists this long non-coding RNA (865 nucleotides) under Triticum aestivum (bread wheat). RNAcentral's name for it is "long non-coding RNA (TAES_LNC012278)". Lineage: Eukaryota; Viridiplantae; Streptophyta; Magnoliopsida; Poales; Poaceae. The record is from RNAcentral.